AGAGUUUGAUCCUGGCUCAGGAUGAACGCUAGCGACAGGCUUAACACAUGCAAGUCGAGGGGCAGCAUAGAAGUAGCAAUACUUUGGUGGCGACCGGCGCACGGGUGAGUAACGCGUAUGCAACCUACCUAUCAGAGGGGAAUAACCCGGCGAAAGUCGGACUAAUACCGCAUAAAACAGGGGCACCGCAUGGUGAUAUUUGUUAAAGAGAUUCGCUGAUAGAUGGGCAUGCGUUCCAUUAGGUAGUUGGUGAGGUAACGGCUCACCAAGCCGACGAUGGAUAGGGGAACUGAGAGGUUGGUCCCCCACACUGGUACUGAGACACGGACCAGACUCCUACGGGAGGCAGCAGUGAGGAAUAUUGGUCAAUGGGCGGGAGCCUGAACCAGCCAAGUCGCGUGAAGGAAGAAGGAUCUAUGGUUCGUAAACUUCUUUUGCAGGGGAAUAAAGUGCAGGACGUGUCCUGUUUUGUAUGUACCCUGAGAAUAAGGAUCGGCUAACUCCGUGCCAGCAGCCGCGGUAAUA
This 525-nucleotide ribosomal RNA is filed under the name uncultured bacterium. Its description in RNAcentral is "bacterial SSU rRNA". It matches the Rfam family "Bacterial small subunit ribosomal RNA", at positions 8 to 525 of the family's 1533-position model. The record is from RNAcentral.